GAUGAACGCUGGCGGCGUGCCUAAUACAUGCAAGUCGAGCGCACAGAUAAGGAGCUUGCUCCUUUGACGUUAGCGGCGGACGGGUGAGUAACACGUGGGUAACCUACCUAUAAGACUGGAAUAACUCCGGGAAACCGGGGCUAAUGCCGGAUAACAUUUAGAACCGCAUGGUUCUAAAGUGAAAGAUGGUUUUGCUAUCACUUAUAGAUGGACCCGCGCCGUAUUAGCUAGUUGGUAAGGUAACGGCUUACCAAGGCAACGAUACGUAGCCGACCUGAGAGGGUGAUCGGCCACACUGGAACUGGGACACGGUCCAGACUCCUACGGGAGGCAGCAGUAGGGAAUCUUCCGCAAUGGGCGAAAGCCUGACGGAGCAACGCCGCGUGAGUGAUGAAGGUCUUCGGAUCGAAAAACUCUGUUAUUAGGGAAGAACAAAUGUGUAAGUAACUGUGCACGUCUUGACGGUACCUAAUCAGAAAGCCACGGCUAACUACGUG
RNAcentral lists this ribosomal RNA (497 nucleotides) under uncultured bacterium. RNAcentral's name for it is "partial 16S ribosomal RNA". It matches the Rfam family "Bacterial small subunit ribosomal RNA", at positions 28 to 507 of the family's 1533-position model. The record is from RNAcentral.